Molecule: long non-coding RNA, 2290 nt
Organism: Clupea harengus (Atlantic herring)
Lineage: Eukaryota; Metazoa; Chordata; Actinopteri; Clupeiformes; Clupeidae
Exons: 2
Source: RefSeq, a predicted model, not a curated record
UCGGUCCACGAUCUGCAGCACUGUGGCCUCAGCAACUUCAGGUGGGGCAACUGGUUAAGCCAUAACUGAGUUUAUUGUAAACAUGAUGAGCCUAACCAAAGUGUGUGUAAAAACAAGUUACAUUUAAUUAUGUUUAAUUCUGUUCUGUCUUUUUCUAGGUGCUUCUGCAGUUUGGGCAUUGAUGGUUGCAGUGACUAACUGUACUGUAUGAGAUAUUAUGGACUGAAAAAAAAAACGUAUAUGGUGACACUACAUGUGACAAAAAAAAAAGAAUAAUCAGAGAUACUAUAGAUAUGUUCUCUGGGGGAAUACACAGACUCUCAUGGUAUAAUGAGAUGUGCUUGUAAAUUCUGAUUCAGCAAUAUCUAUAUUAGCCAUUGCAAACAAAAUAAAAAUAUAGACAAAAAUGAAAUAGUGUGAUUUUUCACAUAGACUGUGUUGGAUGCCCUGCCCUUGCCAUCUCGUGUUUAUAUAAAGACCACCGCGUAGCUUUUAUAUUGAAAUAAACUAAGGUUUGUUUACAUUAACAUUCUACCACUAGUUCAAACUGUGAUUGUCUUUGAGGCCUACUUAACAUCUUAAAACCAUAUCAUACCUGAUAAAAUGUUUGUCAAGCAAUGUUUGUCAAGUGAAUUGUGGAAUUUUCUGAUAAAGUGGUGUUUAACAUGAUCCCAACUGUCUGAACAGAACUAUGCAUCCCUCUCCCUGUGUGUGAGGAGAAAGGAGGGGCCGAGUUUACCUGAAGUGCAUUCUAUUAGUCUGUAGAAAGGCCACGAUCAAGAUGAGGAAAUAUAGCCUGACAAUGCCUCUCAGGGAAUUCCACCAAGGGCAUGUUUAAUUACACCCAGAGGGCAGUUUUGAGUUUCGUUUCUCUGGAAAUCACCGCCUAGUAUUCCAGUACCAGUUAUAAAUACCAAAUUAAAUUUUGAGUUUCAGCUCUCUUCAAUAUGGGCUUGUGUAAGUAGCCUAGCCCAACCAAUAUGCUUUCAAAUUCAAUCAAUUUGCGUUUUUAUAACAUAUUGGAAAUAUUUAAAGUAAGCUACCCACUGACGUAAGUACUUGCAUUGUUGUUUGUUACAGUGAGUAUUGUGGCAGCAGUGGCAGGAGCAAGUGAGUUUAACUUAUUUUUUCUCAAAUUGAUGCCUGUCUCGGCAGGGACAACUUGCCCCUACUCACUAUUUCUGGUAUAUAACUGAAAAGAACCUGUUAGAGAUCUCCAAUCAUAUUCUUUAUCUAACCUCUUAUUGCUCAUAGCGGGGGCAGUGGCCGCUGCACCGCUUGUGCUGGGUGCAAUAGGCUUCACUGCAGGUGGGAUAGCUGUGGGAUCCAUAGCCACCAGCAUGAUGUCCGCCACAGCAGUGGCUAACGGAGGAGCUGUGGCAGCCGGUAGUUUGGUGGCUUUGGGGCAGGCAGCAGGUGCAGCCGGUCUGUCUGCAGGGGCAACAGCAGCAGUUGGGACAGUCGGGGGGACACUGGGCUGGCUUACUGCAGCUGCAGUCGCGCUUAUUUAGAAAGGCAUCAUCUGCUCUCCGUGGAGAAGACCGAGCCGACAACCAUCAGGAGUUUCUUUUAACUUUUGUUUUAACAUAUAAUCUGAAUAUCGAAACUGGUAUACUUGCUAAAUGCUACAAUACCCAAUAAAGAAAUAUCAAAUAAAAGACUUAAGCUCAAAUGGGAAUCGUCAUGUAAACCUGUACUGUUCAUCCAUGUAUAUGGGAAAUGGGAACCUGUAGCCUACUGUUCGUGCAUGUAUCCAGGGGUUAAAUCAGUGGUUCCCAACCUUGGGGUCGCGACCCCUAGUGGGGUCGCAUGGAAUUGAAAUGGGGUCGCCUGAAAUAGUAAGUGAUCAAUACAAAAACAUAUAAUUAUUUUUUUUUAUUAUAAAAAUAAAAACACCAGACACAAUUCAAAACAACACCUCAAAUUACGGCUAUUCAUAUGAUAAAUUCAUGGUAAAUCGGCGAUCGCUAUUGGGUUGUGACGUGGCCACAACUACUUUGAAAACACCCCGUUUCGCCUGUAAACAAGUCCACGUUUACCUCAUAUAUAGCUGAACACGAUGAGGGGAAAUGUAUCCACUUUGAGCUUCGCCUUGACCAAGCCGAAGAUAUUUGUGAUGAGUAAGUUGUCUUCGUUUGACUAGCUCUUGUAAUGAAUGCUGUUGAUUAACUUAUAGGGAGUAAAACGCAUGUCAUAUUAUGGAGUUCUGAGUGUAGGCGAAUACCGUCAACUCGGCAAGGCGAUUUUGAAUCAUAUAAAUUACUUCAUGUCGCUAAGACUAUUCUACAGU